CAGACUGACCCCCAUGCUAUUAUUCUACAUCUCCAAGAUGCCAUCUCUGCCCACUCCCCCCCACCCCCCCUUAACUGAAAGCUCAUGUAUUUUUUUCAUUUGAAAAUUCUUCAGUGAAGGAACAGGAGCAUGGUUACCAUAGCAACUAUCAGGUAGCAUCUCCUUAUGUACUGAGAUGGGAAAGCCGACAAGCCCAGUGCUCUAUUCACUGUACCACCUCCAUGACCCACUCGCUCUUAUUCAAUCACUGCCUGAAUGUCACAACUACCAACGGGAAGCAUUGGUGAACAGUACUCGAACCAUUGACAGAUGAGAGGACUGAGGAAGAGAGAAAUUAAGUGAUUUACUCUGAGUGACACAACUAAUAAGUGUUUGAGGAAGGAUUUGACUAGUAAAAUUAGAACAAUAAUAUGGAAAUGCUAAAAAAAAAGCUGACCUCCAAUUAAAUGCAAAGACCAAUCUUUGUUCUGGAGUCCAGUUAGGAAAUACAUUUAUUGCCUCUCUAUUAUAGAUGUUGCUGUUGUUCGACCUUAGUUUUCAGAGAGGACCAAAGACAGCAGGAUGUUGUGAUGCUGUGACUUGCAAGUGAGGCAGAGUUGCAGAAGGUUAUCAGUCUAAUUCUGUCCCCUGGAGUCAUUGAAGUCUAGUGGCAAGGCAAAAGUCAGGACAAUUGGUGAUGGGAUGCAGUGGAUGACCUUGGUGUCGCUGAUGUCUGACCAAGCUCUAAGAGCUCCACAGCACCUGCUUCAGCCCCUCCCAUGAACUAUUCUCAUCUGUCCAUUCCAUUAGGGGAAGUCUUCACAUACUUAGGAUAGACACCUCCCUAACUCGCCAACAGGUCUGAGUCCUCUUGGUUACCCUCCACCUGGCUUAGUCCAUCUUCCAAGAGGGUUUUACCAGGGUGUGACUGCUUCUUGGAGCCCCAGGUGAGACUUGGUGACAGGUAGACACCAAAGAUGAAUGAGCAGCCCUGAAAGGGGCUACAAAGUCCUCACGCUAGAGGUGCUAGUUCUUUCUGGGCAGUUAAGUGGUAUCAUAGUGCUCAGAACACUGGCCCUCCCACAACACCCCAUACACUCUACUUGAGAAAGAGGAGACUAUGGGGAUAGA
RNAcentral lists this long non-coding RNA (1110 nucleotides) under Monodelphis domestica (gray short-tailed opossum). RNAcentral's name for it is "lncRNA (ENSMODG00000046052.1)". Lineage: Eukaryota; Metazoa; Chordata; Mammalia; Didelphimorphia; Didelphidae. The record is from RNAcentral.